GCAGGGCUCCACUGACUUUUUAAAAGUUACAGGCUUUAUUUAGAGCAGUUUUAGGUUCACAGCAAAAUGGAGAGGAACGUACAGGGAUACCCCACGGCUCCCUCCCCGGCGGGCCCGCUCCCCCGCGCCCACCCUCUCGCCUGCGCCCCCUGCGCCCCCUUCCUCCCCCACACCGCGUCCCCUCCUCGCACAGCGGUGCAUUUGGUACGGCGGGCUGCCAUCACCACCCUGACCGUCACCCGAGCUGUGCGUUCUGCGGUUUGGACAGAGUGUAAAGACAGGGCCCGCCACUGCCACACAGAGCUGCUCCGCCCGCAGACCCUCUGCCCGCCGCCCGUCCCCGAUUCGGUUGCUGGGUUGGGCUCCUCUUUAAACCGAGCGGCUUCUCCCGCUCACCGAGGCGCGGCGGGGGCGCGGCGGGGUCUGGGCGUGGCCGGCUGGGGGCGUGGCCGAGGCCCCCUAAAAUCCCCGCGCUCCCUCCGGCGCUGGGGGCCAUGCGGACGAGGGGCGCGCAGCUGACUCUGCGUGGCGUCGCCCUGCUGUGCGCCCUCGGCCUGGGCCAGAGCUGCUCCGGGGCUCCGCUCUGCGGCCCCGGCCUCCUCCUGCUCGGGACGGGCACGGAUGCGCGCUGCUGCCGCUCGUGCGCCUCGGCCGAAGUCUGUCCUGAGCAGAGCUGCGUGUGUGUGCGACCCGAGUACCACUGUGGAGACCCGCAGUGCCAGGUCUGCAAGCACCACCCAUGCCCACCUGGCCAGGGGGUUCGGCCUCAAGGACCCUCACUGGCCUCCUGCCCUCAGCCCAGUGGACCAAGUGUAAGGCCCGACCUGGUCUUGCCCCACUGCCACCUGCUCCCGGCACCCCCAGAACCUCCAGCCUGCAGCAGGCGGCCUCUCCGCUCCCCUCCCCUCCCCUCUGCCACACUCCUGCUCUCCUGCCCCCACCCCCCAUCCGCAUCUGUCCAGGGAGCCUCCGCUCAACCCAGGCACCCGCAGACGCCAGCCCUAGGCGGGGCCCACAGGGCGCUGGUGCACCCCAGGUCCAGGUCCUGGGGCAUCAGAGACCUCUGUCAAGCGGAUGAGGUGUGUGUGGUCAUUCUCCGGCGGGCCUGGGCCCCAGAUGGCCCCCACUGCACCCCCAGCCACCCCGCAGCCUGUCUGCCUGUCUGUCUCCAGGGAAGUUCAGUUUCGGCUUCGAGUGUGUGGACUGUGCCACAGGGACCUUCUCUGAGGGCCACGAAGGCCGCUGCAAACCUUGGGCAGACUGCUCCCGCUUUGGGUUCCCCACCAUGUUCCCUGGGAACAGGACGCACAAUGCCGUGUGCAGCCCGGGGCUGACGCCCGCCGAGCCUCGCGGCCUGCUGGCCGUCGUGCUGCUCACCAUGGUGGCCUGCGUCCUGGUUCUGACCGCCACCCAGCUUGGCCUGCACAUCUGGCAGCUGAAGAGGCCGCAAGCAUGGCCUCCAGAGGUCCAGCUGCUCCCGGAGGCACCGCCGGCGGCCGAGGACGCCUGCAGCUGCCAGUUCCCUGAGGAAGAGCGAGGGGAGCGACUGUCAGAGGACAAGGGCCGGCGGGGGCACCUGUGGGCGUGAGGCCUGGCGGUC
This is an RNA transcript of Manis pentadactyla (Chinese pangolin), 1600 nucleotides long. It is a transcript of the gene named TNF receptor superfamily member 18, with no coding region annotated. The transcript has 5 exons. The record is from RefSeq and is a predicted model, not a curated record. Lineage: Eukaryota; Metazoa; Chordata; Mammalia; Pholidota; Manidae.